UACGGAGGGUGCAAGCGUUAUCCGGAUUCACUGGGUUUAAAGGGUGCGUAGGAGGGCAGGUAAGUCAGUGGUGAAAUCUCCGAGCUUAACUUGGAAACUGCCGUUGAUACUAUCUGUCUUGAAUAUUGUGGAGGUGAGCGGAAUAUGUCAUGUAGCGGUGAAAUGCUUAGAUAUGACAUAGAACACCAAUUGCGAAGGCAGCUCGCUACACAUAUAUUGACUCUGAGGCACGAAAGCGUGGGGAUCAAACAGG
This 253-nucleotide ribosomal RNA is filed under the name uncultured bacterium. RNAcentral's name for it is "partial 16S ribosomal RNA". It matches the Rfam family "Bacterial small subunit ribosomal RNA", at positions 524 to 776 of the family's 1533-position model. The record is from RNAcentral.